CCUGUAAUGAGCUUCAGAUAUAUGGAGUGGGAUGACAUUAUGUUCUGAACUGUUUCAGAUGAAAUGGUUUUAGUGGCAGCUGUAUUUAAAGAUGAGCGAUCUUCAUUCUCACAUUAAAGAGUGGGAGUAAACUUUUCACAGCGUAAAUGCCACCAGCAAAUCUCUGGGAAAGAGAGCCUGAUUCACUAUAGGAAUUACGCAUAUCAGCCUUUUCCUAACAGUGCUGGGCUAUUUGAUUGGAAAGCAACUUUAAUUGAAAAAUGGAGGCCAGGCUGUCCAGACUGGGGGCGACUUUUUUUUGGCACUAAUGAUGCACACUCAUCUUAUAAUGUCUUUGUGUAAAGAUGAAAGAGGAUGGAGUGGAACAAGCUUGCAUUGCAACAGAUGAAGCAGCACACCCCACAUUUAAUUACACCAUCAAGCCAUUGCAUUGCAUAUAAAAACACUCAGACAGAAUGAACAAUGGUCAUAGUCAAAUCUACCUACUUUUGAACAUAACAUUCUUCCAUAAAUUACAACAAAAAUAACCACUAAAUACUACUUUUUCCCAG
This is a long non-coding RNA of Cyprinus carpio carpio, 551 nucleotides long. The record is from Ensembl. Lineage: Eukaryota; Metazoa; Chordata; Actinopteri; Cypriniformes; Cyprinidae.